CUGCUACCCCUUGCAGAUUUGGCACACUUUGAUAACUUACCAGCACCAGAAACACUGAUUCAUGAAACUGAUGUCAGAAGAGGUUGUUUUUGCCAAAAGUGAAUCCCAUGUUGUUCUGUGUCGUGGAAGAGAUGAUGCCAAAAUUUGAGAUGGUCAUGAUGCUCAAGGACCUAUAAUGUCACAUGAAGAUAACAGGAAUAUUUAUGUUCGAUACCUGAUGUAGGACAAAUUUCUCUAAACUGGACACUCAAAAAUUACUCAACCCUUACAAAAUUUUCAUUAUUAAUGUGUGUCAGGGGUCUUAAUAAGUCAAACUAAUUGGAGCUGGAAAUGCAUCCAUGCCCCUACUGUUGCAAUGCACAGUACAACAGGUCCCCAAAUCCUGACAGAGGAUUUUGAACUCUAAUAAAAUGUAAAUACUAUAUUCGGAUAUAUAAUGUCUGUAUCCUCUGACCCAUGAUGAAUAACAAAUUAUUCCUAGUUUAACAGUUUCAGUACCUAACAGCCAAGCCUCUAGUUUGUAACUGAAAAUGGGAGGGGUGGGGGGAAUCUGAUCACAAGCAAAUAUAAUGGCAGCAGUAA
This is a long non-coding RNA of Pezoporus flaviventris, 582 nucleotides long. RefSeq lists it as uncharacterized. The record is from RefSeq and is a predicted model, not a curated record. Lineage: Eukaryota; Metazoa; Chordata; Aves; Psittaciformes; Psittacidae. The transcript is spliced from 2 exons.